CCUCAGUAACGGCGAGUGAAGCGGCAAGAGCUCAAAUUUGAAAGCUGGCUCCUUCGGGGUCCGCAUUGUAAUUUGCAGAGGAUGCUUCGGGAGCGGCCCCCAUCUAAGUGCCCUGGAACGGGCCGUCAUAGAGGGUGAGAAUCCCGUCUGGGAUGGGGUGCCCGCGCCCGUGUGAAGCUCCUUCGACGAGUCGAGUUGUUUGGGAAUGCAGCUCUAAAUGGGUGGUAAAUUUCAUCUAAAGCUAAAUACUGGCCGGAGACCGAUAGCGCACAAGUAGAGUGAUCGAAAGAUGAAAAGCACUUUGAAAAGAGAGUUAAACAGCACGUGAAAUUGUUGAAAGGGAAGCGCUUGCGACCAGACUCGCUCGCGGGGUUCAGCCGGCCUUCGGGCCGGUGUACUUCCCCGCGGGCGGGCCAGCGUCGGUUUGGGCGGCCGGUCAAAGGCCCUCGGAAUGUAUCGCCCCCCGGGGCGUCUUAUAGCCGAGGGUGCCAUGCGGCCAGCCCGGACCGAGGAACGCGCUUCGGCUCGGACGCUGGCAUAAUGGUCGUAAGCGACCCGUCUUGAAACACGGACCAAGGAGUCUAACAUCUACGCGAGUGUUCGGGUGUCAAACCCGUGCGCGCAGUGAAAGCGAACGGAGGUGGGAACCCCUCGGGGUGCACCAUCGACCGAUCCUGAUGUCUUCGGAUGGAUUUGAGUAAGAGCGUAGCUGUUGGGACCCGAAAGAUGGUGAACUAUGCCUGAAUAGGGCGAAGCCAGAGGAAACUCUGGUGGAGGCUCGCAGCGGUUCUGACGUGCAAAUCGAUCGUCAAAUUUGGGUAUAGGGGCGAAAGACUAAUCGAACCAUCUAGUAGCUGGUUCCUGCCGAAGU
Molecule: ribosomal RNA, 871 nt
Filed under: Penicillium lineolatum
Lineage: Eukaryota; Fungi; Ascomycota; Eurotiomycetes; Eurotiales; Aspergillaceae
Description: LSU rRNA
Rfam family: Eukaryotic large subunit ribosomal RNA
Source: RNAcentral